CUCUGUGACUCCUACGGGAGGCAGCAGUGGGGAAUAUUGCACAAUGGGCGCAAGCCUGAUGCAGCCAUGCCGCGUGUGUGAAGAAGGCCUUCGGGUUGUAAAGCACUUUCAGUUGUGAGGAAGGUGGUGUCGUUAAUAGCGGCAUCAUUUGACGUUAGCAACAGAAGAAGCACCGGCUAACUCCGUGCCAGCAGCCGCGGUAAUACGGAGGGUGCGAGCGUUAAUCGGAAUUACUGGGCGUAAAGCGCAUGCAGGUGGUUUGUUAAGUCAGAUGUGAAAGCCCCGGGGCUCAACCUCGGAACUGCAUUUGAAACUGGCAGACUAGAGUACUGUAGAGGGGGUAGAAUUUCAGGUGUAGCGGUGAAAUGCGUAGAGAUCUGAAGGAAUACCGGUGGCGAAGGCGGCCCCCUGGACAGAUACUGACGCUGAGGCACGAAAGCGUGGGGAGCGAACAGGAUUAGAUACCCUGGUAG
Molecule: ribosomal RNA, 473 nt
Filed under: uncultured bacterium
Lineage: Bacteria
Description: bacterial SSU rRNA
Rfam family: Bacterial small subunit ribosomal RNA
Source: RNAcentral